Molecule: long non-coding RNA, 1834 nt
Organism: Carassius auratus (goldfish)
Lineage: Eukaryota; Metazoa; Chordata; Actinopteri; Cypriniformes; Cyprinidae
Source: Ensembl
AUUCGAGGACAAAGUGAUGACAUGGGCCAGAGGGUGCUAAGAGAUAUGCUUUAGGGGCUUACCUGAGAUCAGUUUUUGGUUUGCACGAAAAUGGCUAUGGUUAGUGUCUGUAAGGCAACAUCUCACCCUUUAUUGGCUGCAUUGGCCUAUCACUGGUUCAGAGCUAAUCCUGCCUUCAUCUCAUUAUUGGAUCUGCUGGUGUUUAGCUGCUUAGACCUAGCAUAGCCAUGGCAUUGGCUUCUGAAAGCAAAAAGUUAGAUCCGGUCACCUCUAAAGUCAAAGAAUCACAGUAAACGGGCGUUACUUAUGUAGCAUUUGAUGAACCAGAAGUACAGAGUUCAGAUGCAGGGAAUAGAGAGGCUAACAAAAUUAGCAUGUAGCAUGAAUUAGCUCUUUGGAUGCUCCUUUGUGCUAAUUUCUCUCACUGUCAGCUCUGAUUAGUUAAUUCCACGAAACCCAAAUCUUACCAAUUGGGUGUGAGAACAUGUUUUCUUUAUGUUCCAUAGUUUACCAACAGGGUUAAUCUCAGAGAUGAGACCUGAUAGUGUAGGCUAUUUUUUUAAAUGCAAUUAUGUUUGUCCUUACAUGAAUCUUCAUCAUUUUCAUGUGUAGUUUACAUGAAUCCACUCACUGAACUCCUGGUAUUGGCUGAAUACUUUAUUUUAUUAGCUGUGUAUGUUAAUGCAAUCUUGGGUUUUGAUUUUUUACUGUUUUUGAACCGUGGCAGUUAGCAACUACCCAGAACACCCUCGUAAUCACAUUACAACCUUAAAGCAACACCCUAGCAACCACUCAGAACAUCUUGACAUCAUGCUGAAAAAUGUUGCAUGGAGAAAUACUACGAAGAAGAAAAAGUGCACAUUUUGUCGUAGUGCAAAACACUAUAGCAUUAGAUAUGUUGCUAUUUUGAAUAGGAUGAUUUUAUUAUAUAUAUAAAUAUAGUCUUAUGAGUGGUAGCAUUGUCCUUCAAGAUUUAAUCCUGUUAGCCCAGUCCUGCCUCAAUCCUAAUCCACACAGAUUGCUGAAGUUCCCUCUGGAUGGUCUCAAUGCCCAACUUCUGCUCAACAUUCAGAGUCUCAGGAUGUUUAACUGGGUGGUGAAGGUCGUGCCACAUCCUCCUGACACACAGGGGGAUCUGGGGGAGGAGGCGAUCGCGGCGAAUGGGAAAACAUCAAAUCGAGAUAAGUUCAGUUCAUCCAAAACAGGCAGUAAGGAAGACCAGUCAUCUCAAACAUCAAAAGAUAGUGUUCAGAAUGGUAUGUUGAACUGGAUCUCCAACGGUUUUGCCAGCGCACUGCCUCUGCCCGGGAGUCCACUUCUUACGAGAGCCAACUCUGAUGCAAAAGAUGAAGGGUCUGUAGACAGGUCUGGAGUUAUUGGCUGGAUCACACAGGGAAUUGGAGAAGUGGUCCCACAGCCUGAUGAGAAAUACAUACAGGACAAGAGUCCAGAAUCUGAAGAAGUCACAGAGGUUUAUGAGGCAAAGGACCUCCCAGAUCAGGAGGCUUUGCCACAUAUACCAGUAGUAGAACUGAUGUCAGAAGACGAGGCAUCUGAAGUGGAACCAACCGCUAAGUUCCCUCCUAAUGUAAUGAGCUGGAUAAAGAGCGGCUUCCAGAACGCUGUUCCGCACCAUGUGACCAGACCCCCAAGUUCCAGUUCUUCCACGCCGAGGUCAUCACAGUGCUCAAACAAAGUUUAUUCACCUCCUCCAGAGUCAGAAACCAGCGUGACAGAGAUCGAUUCAAAAACUCCAAGUAUGAUGGGUUGGAUUGUUCAGGGUCUGGGUCUUUCAAUGCCACAACCGGGGCUUAAAAACAAAUAAGGGUGUUUG